This 511-nucleotide ribosomal RNA is filed under the name uncultured bacterium. RNAcentral describes it as "bacterial SSU rRNA". It matches the Rfam family "Bacterial small subunit ribosomal RNA", at positions 15 to 518 of the family's 1533-position model. The record is from RNAcentral.
GAUCCUGGCUCAGGAUGAACGCUAGCGGCAGGCUUAACACAUGCAAGUCGAGGGGCAGCGGGAUGUAGCAAUACAUUGCCGGCGACCGGCGGAUGGGUGCGUAACGCGUAUGCAACCUACCUUAUACAGGGGAAUAACCUUUCGAAAGGGAGACUAACACCCCAUAGUAUUGAUUUAAGGCAUCUUAGAUUAAUUAAAUAUUUAUAGGUAUAAGAUGGGCAUGCGUAUGAUUAGCUAGUUGGUAAGGUAACGGCUUACCAAGGCGACGAUCAUUAGGGGUUCUGAGAGGAAGGUCCCCCACACUGGUACUGAGACACGGACCAGACUCCUACGGGAGGCAGCAGUGAGGAAUAUUGGUCAAUGGGCGCAAGCCUGAACCAGCCAUGCCGCGUGCAAGGAAGACGGCCUUAUGGGUUGUAAACUGCUUUUACAUAAGACUAACCGUAUAUUUGCGAAUAUACCUGAAUGUAUUAUGAGAAUAAGGAUCGGCUAACUCCGUGCCAGCCGCCGC